GUGGGGAAUAUUGGACAAUGGGGGGAACCCUGAUCCAGCCAUGCCGCGUGUGUGAAGAAGGCCUUUUGGUUGUAAAGCACUUUAAGCGAGGAGGAGGCUACCGAGAUUAAUACUCUUGGAUAGUGGACGUUACUCGCAGAAUAAGCACCGGCUAACUCUGUGCCAGCAGCCGCGGUAAUACAGAGGGUGCAAGCGUUAAUCGGAUUUACUGGGCGUAAAGCGCGCGUAGGUGGCCAAUUAAGUCAAAUGUGAAAUCCCCGAGCUUAACUUGGGAAUUGCAUUCGAUACUGGUUGGCUAGAGUACGGGAGAGGAUGGUAGAAUGCCAGGUGUAGCGGUGAAAUGCGUAGAGAUCUGGAGGAAUACCGAUGGCGAAGGCAGCCAUCUGGCCUAAUACUGACACUGAGGUGCGAAAGCAUGGGGAGCAAACAGGAUUAGAAACCCGAGUAGUCC
This 451-nucleotide ribosomal RNA is filed under the name uncultured bacterium. RNAcentral's name for it is "partial 16S ribosomal RNA". It matches the Rfam family "Bacterial small subunit ribosomal RNA", at positions 354 to 796 of the family's 1533-position model. The record is from RNAcentral.